ACACAGUGUCCCGUGCCAAAGCACUACUGCCACCCCAACCACUUGUCUGGCUUUACCCCGUGGCCUUCAGGCACUGAAGCGGGUUACAUAGUG
RNAcentral lists this small nucleolar RNA (93 nucleotides) under Echinops telfairi (small Madagascar hedgehog). RNAcentral's name for it is "Small nucleolar RNA SNORA42/SNORA80 family (ENSETEG00000025195.1)". Lineage: Eukaryota; Metazoa; Chordata; Mammalia; Afrosoricida; Tenrecidae. The record is from RNAcentral.